GCUGCUGAAGAAACUUUCUGGCAGUCUGCUCUGGAACCCUUCCAUGCAGCCGAAUGUAAGAUGAAAGAUUACCCCCAGCACAAAACUCAACCACAAGGAAUAUACAAUUUUCAGCCUGACAGCAGAGGCAGCCAACUUCAAUUUGUCAUAGUACUAUCGUUACAUAAAUGAUUUAUAUAUCAUUUGCAACAGCCUAUACGGCUUUCUUUAUUAAGGGAAUGGUGUAGCUCUAAGACAAAUAUGCCUAAGUACGAACAGAUUUGGACAAUCAAGAAAUCACUUAUUUUAAAUUGUAAUUUGCAUGCAACGGGCAUGCCGCCAGACCAUUUAAUAACAAAAAUGUGUAUGAGGGACAGGAAAAUAGAAAUCCAAAAAGUAUGCUUAAUUCCAACACAUCUUAUCUUACAUAAACUAUUUGCAUCCCCAAUUCAAGGUAUAAAUAAUAAAAUUGAUUAGCUAAAAUCAACCAUUUGCAUUUUCCAAUUCAAGGUAUAAAAUAAGUUAGCUAAAAAUAGUCAGAAAAGAAAAUAAAAGAACCACAAAAAAUAGCAUAGUUUGAACAUUAAGACCAUCCUUUUCUCUAAUAAGCAAUUUGCAUCUCCAUGUCAUGAUAAAAAAUAAUGGUCAUUUAUGGAAUAUCCAAUUGAUAAAAUCAACUUAACCAACAGGCUAAUGAAUUAAUGAAUCUGCAUUCCAAGAUAAAUCUACACUAAAUUAACAACUAUUAUCUCCAAAAUAAUUAAAGAAAAAUCUAAAAAUACAUUUUCAGACCUCCAAGCUGAUUUGAACAAUCAGUUAACAAAUGCAAUUCAGCAAACACUUGACAAGUAUCCAACAGCUUAUCCAAAAAUGAAAUUAAAAAAAUUAAGCAGACAGUUAUGCUCUUACAACAAAUCAAGCAAAAUCAUACGGGACGAUCCUUUAUCAAAGAUAAUUAAAUGGAUAUCCCACAAACAGGCUAAAAAUCAAAACCAAUGAACUAAAUAUAAAUAAAUUACAUUACCCAAAUCAAAGAAACUCAAAUUCAACAAACGCAAGAAAGGCAAUUAAGAAUCUGAAAUUUCCAUUUAAAGGGCUCACCUGGAAAGCGUCAAAAAGGCGAAUUAUGUUGGGGUGAUUGACAGAGGAGAGGAAAUUGAGCUCACAAUCCAAGCAGCUCUUGAGGUGCUUGUUGAGUUUUUCAACAUAAACUUGCUUCACGGCCACCACAUCACCUGAUGACAAGUGCUCCGCUUUCCACACUGUUGAGAGUGAAUUUGAACUCUCUCCAAUUUUUGAUUUUAAUGCAUAGUCUCCCACUGUUUUGUUUUUUGAGAGUUUGUUUUGUUCCAUUUCUGCUCUGGAAACUCAUAAGAGUCCUGUCACAAAAGAUAAAAUAAUGGAAACUCAUCAGGGUAAGGCCGAGUUGCUACCGUGUUCUAAUGCUUUCCCUUUGCGCGAGGUUAUAAAUAGUGCGUGACACGUGUCAUGCGAUGAAAAUUUACGAAAAUAUUAAUUUUAAAUAAUUAGUUAGGGUAAAUUUCACUACAACCCCGAUUAAUGUUCGUAAUCACUAAUGAGUCUCUAUUAGAUUGUAUGUCAUCAAGGCGCGCCAAAACCCUUUUCUUGUCCCGAAUUCAAAUUAGAGCAUCAAUUAGGGGUAUUUUAAAAAAUCAUUCAUUUUUAUUUACUUUUUGAAAAAAUGGUAGAAAUGUACUCAUCAUAUUGGUCAACUGUAGUCAAUCACUAAAAAUAUCAGGUGCUAUAACAGCACCGGUCUUUUUCUUAUCAUUAACUAAUUGAUGCUAAUAGUGAUAAGAAAAAUGAUAUAACUUUUACACUUUAAAAAUUUCUUUCAAUAUUAUGCUAUUUUGUGCACUUAUUUAUUAAAUUUGAGAAUUUAAAUUUUAUUUUGUACACUCAUUAAAAUAUUAAAAAUAUUCUAAUUUAAACCACUUAAAUUAAUUCACUCAAAACAACCAAAAAAAAAAACUAUCAAGCAAAGCCAGAAAAAGAUUUAAAAAUUAAAAAUUUAGCAUAUACUUGCAACAAACAGAUUCAAUUGAAGUUGUAAAGAAAUUUUUUAAACAUAAUUUUUAGUUAUUUAUUUUUGUUUACUAUAGAAUAUGCUUAAUAAUGAUUUUUGCACUCCCAAAUUUUUUAACAUCAAGAAGAAUGAAUUUUGUUUGCCCCCAAUAACAACUGAAAAGAAAUGGCGAUUUAACGGGGGGGAAAAAAAAAGAAGCUAGAUGAUGCUGCUACUGGAUGCAGCAGUUUAUAUGGGCUCAGUUUCAGCUUCCUCCCUAUUUUCCAUUUUUUUUUUCAAAUCAAAAUAAAAAAUUUGACCAUCUUCACAAUAGUUUAUUUCAAUUUAAUGUUUUGAAGAGAAAUGGACACUUAAAUCUCAAGAUUUAAAAAAAUGAUCAUAAAGACCCUCAAUUUUUUAUUGAAAAAUACCAAAACCCCCUUUUGACAAUAAUACCCUUUAAAUUUAGUAAUUAAAAAAUUAACUUUAAAGUUUUGUAACUAAUACAAAUUUAAUAUAAAUAAUAUAGUCUAUCUAGUAGACUAAUAAUAUUAAAUUAUUUUUAACAUUUAAAAUAAUAUUAAAAUAUUAUAUUAUUUUAAUAAUAUAUUUGUAUUUAUUAUAAAGAUUUUAAAUAAUUUUCUGGGUUAAAUUGAUUUUACAAUUAGCAAAAUAUAUCCCUAUUAUAAAUACGAAAUUUAUUAUUUACAUAAUAUUUAAAAUAAUUUUAAUUUUAAUUUAUUUACUAUAGUAUUAUGUUUCUAUUUGUUAUUAAAAUUUACUUUAAUUAUAAUAAAAUAUGUCUAAUAGAUUGUGAAAUAUAAAAAUAUUUUUUAAAUAUUAAAAUGUAUGUAUUAUUAUAUUUAUUUCAAUACCAUAUUUCUGUUUAUUAUAAAAUUUUCAAGUCAAUUUUUUUGGAAUUUAUAAAGUCAAAUGGUAUGAUGGUAAAAAGAAGGGUCUUUGUAUCUCUUACUAAAAACUUAGGGUCUUAAUGGCCAUCUUCCUAAAUCUUAGGGGUGUAGAUGUCAUUUUUCUUAUUUUGAAAAUCAAAAGGGUCUCAUAAAUCUUGUAGUCAAAAUAUUUUAAAAUAUUGAUUUGCUCAUUGUCCAAGUAAGUUUUGUUCAAGAUGCUGGAAAUAAAAUUUUAAUAUUUAAAGCAAAAGAAUUACAGAUUGAAUAAUGAGUGCACUAUAUCAUAAGUAUUCAAAAUAAUUAUAAUAUACAUGACUUAUAAUAAAUUGUUCUUAAUAGUAAUUCACAUGAUGAGUAUUUCUGUAAUAAAUUAUUUUAAUAAAGGAUGGGGCUAUUUAAACCAUAAAAAUACUUUUUGUACCUUUUUUUGUAAAAUUUAAUAUAACAAAAAGAACCAUACAGAAAAUUAUUAUUUAAGACAAAGAUAAGCCUUUUUAACACCCUUCUUCUUCUGCUUCUUCUUCUUCCGUUUCUUUGUCUUCUCCACAUCCAUGUUAUCUUGUAAAUUUAAAUAGUCUGUUUAUCAUUCAUUGCAAUUGCAGCCUUAUAAGAAUAGCAAUGUAAAUGGAAUUAUGGAGACUGACGAAAAUUACCUAUAGUAAUACAAUUUACUUGAUCAUAGAGUUCAACCUUUCUCAUUGUUCUAGUGGAAAAAAAAAAGAAAUCAACAAAUAUUCUAGUAAAGAAAUUAUAAAAAUCAUAUUCAUAAACUAUCCAAAGACAAAAAAAAAAAAAAAAAUCAGAUUUCAUGAAUACUGUUAAAACAAAAAGGCCCACCAAAUAAAUCAAGAUGAUGUUGUCAUUUUUUGGAAAUACAUAUAUAUAUAUAUAACCUAUAUGAUUGUUUAUACCGGAGGUGAUUUCUUUUUAAUGAUUACUGUUUAUAGAAAGGAAUCGUAGGAAAAAAAUAAAUAAAAAGGGGAAUCAUAAGAAUGGAAAAGAAGAUACUAAAACAAAAAAGAUGAAAUUAGAUUUUGAUGAAUAUGGACAAAAUUUUGGAGGUAUAGAAAUAAAAUAUUGAGGUUUUUAAUUAGGGUUAAUUUUGAAUUACAGAAAGUUUAAAGAUGAAAAUUCUUAUUUCAUACUUUUGUUAAUGGAGUGUAUAGAGUAAAUGGGUGUAGAGAGUUAUUACUUAAUUCAAAUAACCCCACCCUUUAAUAAAAUAUAAGUAUUUAGAGUAAUUUUUAAAGUGUAUAUUAAAGCAGUAGAUUAUCAUGUUUUAAAAAAUAGAAAUCGAAAGUAAAAGCAUUGCACAGAUCGAUCGUAACAUGCAUUCAGCGGGAAUAUAAGAUUUUACACUCCGAUAUAAUUUAAUAUUAUUCCAUGAGACUAAAGAUUAAUAACUUUGACUGGAAAUUUAUACAAAUCACGCCCUCCUACCUAUAAAAACCUCCUUAGCAGCACCUAAUUUUGCCACGACAUCUAUUAUUUGCAUUCGCUCGGAUGGAGAUUCCAUUGAGCACAGAACUCCAAUUUUCACUAUAGUAGCCAAGCACUCCUCGAUUUUGGCUCCAUAAUUUCCAGGAUUACUAGAGUUGCUCGCCCUUGGUUUCAAGUCCAACAACAAAGAAGGAUCAACAAUUUCCAUUAAUUUUUCUGGUAGAGACAUCUUGGCAAAUUCAUGGAGAGUCAAACCGUCAUUAAACAUGUUAUCGGUUGGCCGUCUUCUUGUAAACAUCUCUAGCAAUAAGAUUCCAAAGCUGUACACAUCUCCUGUCAUGGACACAUCCCCGCCCAUGCCAUACUCUUGAAAAGGAAAAAGACAUUUCGGAUUCUUUGUGUUAGAUACUAACAAUCAAACAUUAACAUUAUUUAAAAGUACAAAGUGUCAAAUAUGAAUAUAAAUACCUGGGGCUAUAUAACCGACAGUUCCUUUUAUCCCAAUUGAACUUGAUGAAGUUUCAAGAAUUGUACAAGGUGAGCGAUCAGAAAGAAAUCUUGCAAGCCCGAAGUCACCUACAUGGGCGAUCAAGUCAUAAUCAAGUAGAAUAUUGCUUGGCUUUAUAUCACCAUGAACAAUUGGCGGUUGGCAGUGAUGGUGAAGAUAUUCAAUUACAGAAGCCACAUCAAUGACUACGUUCAGUCUUUGAAUGAGAUUUAAGUUGCCUGCUUCAAGUUGAUCAUUGCUCUGGUGCAGCCAAUCCUCCAAACUUCCACAUGGCAAGUAUUCGUAAACAAGAGCCUUGAACUCAAUCCCUUUAAAAUCAAUGCUUGAGCAAACAGUGAUGAUUUUGAUGAGAUUUCGAUGGCGAAUAUUUCUUAAUGCUUCACAUUCAGCAACAAAACUCUUGGUUGCACCCUUUUGCUUAAGAUUCAUUACCUUCACUGCUACUGGCAUUGCAUUUUCACCAAGAUUCCCCUUGUACACGGAGCCAAAGCUUCCCUGACCAAUUAUGUUUGAUGAUGAAAAUUCAUUUGUUGCCUUACUUAGCUCCGCAUAGGAAACCAUCGGAAAUCGUUGUUCCACCCGCAACGUGCUUGAGGAUUUAUGUGCAAGUUUCCUUCUUCGAUUUUCAACAACAGUACGGCAUGUUAAUAAGAUGAGAACUGACCCAAUCACAGGAAGCAGAACCUUGAGAAGAGUGACUGUUGAUUUUCUUGGUCUAGUAGAAUGGCAAGGUGGCAAGUGCAGUUCAUUUAAACCCCCACAAAGCUUCUCAUUCCCAAGUAGAGAAAUAUUAAUUUUACUACUGAAAACUCCUUUUGUUGGUACUUCACCCUCAAAGUGAUUAUAAGACAAGUUUAAGAGUUCCAAGAACAAUAAAUUCUCGAAAUAUUUUGGAAUCUGACCUGACAAAUUAUUGCAUGAGAGAUCUAUCGCUUUAAUGCUUUUCAAAGAAUUCAAAGCAAAAGGAAUGCUACCGCUGAAAGAAUUUUCAUGCAUAUCAAGAUAUUCUAAGCUUGUACAAGAACUUAGAGUAGUAGGAAUUUCACCGGAAAAUUGAUUUCUAGAUACAUACAAGGCACCUAGAUUCUUCAAGUUUCCAACUUCUACGGGAAUAGGACCACCAAGAAGGUUAUCAGACAGAUCUAGGAGAGUUGAAAGGGUCUUUAUGCCGAGGAUUUGUUUUGGCAAGGCACCAGUGAUUCUAUUUUGGGAAAUAGAUAAUUCCAUCAAAUUUUGACAAUUCCCAAGGGAUGAGGGUAUACCGCCUUUCAAGUUGUUGAUUCUUAGCCAAAGACCAGUCAAUAAUGUCAAGUUGCCAAGAGAGUCAGGGAUGGUCCCAGUCAUGUUGUUUGCAGACAAGCUCAUAGCUUGUAGGUUUCUGAGUUCACCAAUGGUAUGAGGAAUAAUGCCAUUUAGUUGGUUAUAAUGCAGAUAAAGGGCAUUCAAUUUGAUAAGAUUUUUCAUUUCAAAAGGUAUGCUGCCAGAUAUUUGGUUGUGUUGCAUGUCAAUACUGGUCACAGUUGUUGAGAGGUUGACUAUCGAAUGUGGUAGCACUCCUCCAAAUCUAUUGGAACCAAUUUCAAGCGCUUCCAAUUUGCUGCAGUUUGUGAGAAGGGUUACAAAAUCAAGAUCACUGAUUGUUCCACCACCUAAAUUAUUGUCUUUCAAAUUGAGCCAAUUUAGAUUCAGGAGACUGCCAAAAUCAAUUCUCACAUUCCCACUGAAAGAAUUAUCAAACAGUUCAAGCCCCUUAAGGUUUGAAACAUUGGACAGUGAAUGUGGGAGAGUACCUGUAAGAUUGUUUUGUCCUACAUUUAGAUAUGCCAGAUUCGGAAGAUUAAAACCUAUGUCAACUGGAAGACUUCCUUCGAAUCUAUUAAACGCUAAAGAAAUCGUCUGAAGGGAAGAGAUGUUAAAAAUUGAAACAGGAAACGUACCAAAGAAGUUAUUUUCCUCUAUGCUGAAGUAGUAUAAAUCUCUUAAUUGACCUAGACAGUCAGGAAAUCUCCCACUCAAUCCAUUCACUCCAAUAUUAAUUACUUGAAGAGCUGAGAGAUUCCCAAUGGAAGGUGGGAACUGGCCUGUUAACUGAUUGUCUGCAAAGGAUAAUACCUCAAGCUUCAACCAGCUGUAACCAAUAUCUACUGGAACUUCUCCCACAAGGUGGUUUCGGCGGACACGGAAAUUGAUGAGGUUAGAGCAACGGGACAAAUUGGUGGGUAUUUUACCAGAAAAAGAAUUAUUUGUCAGCAAUAGAGUUUCAAGCCUGAACAGACGACCAGCUUCAUUGGGAAUUUCACCAUAGAAAUCGUUGUUAGCCAGGUUGAUGACUCUAAGGAAGCUGAGAUUCCCAACAUAAGGCGAUAAGAAACCCCCUAUGCUUUGGUUUCUCAAAUCUAACUCAGUUACUCUUUGGUGUCGAUGACCACAAGUCACGCCUGUCCAUUGGCACAAGUUGAUAGAAUUGUUCCAUGAACUUGUAACACCAAGUGGAUCCUGAAGCUGUGACUUUAUGGCAAGCAAAGCAAGACGAUCUGUCUCGUUUGAAAGGGCGAAACAACUAUCAGAAUUAAGCAAUGAAAACAAGCUAAAGCACCAUACUAAAGUGGCAAGGCAGCUCAUGGAAUUGGAAUUUAGCAUGUUUGAGCGUGAAGCGGGGAACAAGAUACGGCUGCUCAAUGUUGUGCUCAGAAUGUGUGGACGAUUGUUUCAACUUCAUGUGAUGGGUUUUUAAAUCACACAAAAUACAAAAUUUUCUUCAUUGUUUGGUGUGGACCACCUCAACAUCAUGUCAAUUCAUUUAUUUAAAUUUAACACGAGAACACGAGUUGACACUCCUAUUCAUAUUGCCUGUCAAUUUAGCAGUGGUACAGCUAAUUAAUUAAGGAACAACAAAUAAUAAGGCUGCUAACAGUUAGGAGUAUUAAGCCACGAAUCAUGCGACUGCUCGAAUGGGCGGCCAAACACCGCAAACUCAGAACGACAUCGUUUUGGUUUUGCCUAUUCGGGCACCCAUUCGGACAAACGAGAAUUUUCCUUAUGCUAUAAGAAAGUGGCAAGCAGCUCAUGGAAAAGGAAUUUAUCGUGUUCAAACUUUGAGGGUUUUUAUUAGGCUGUGCUCAAAAUGUGUACAUGAUGGAUGCAACUUCAAAAAAAAAAAAAAAAAAAAAAAAACUUCAAGUGAAGGGCUUUUAGAGCAGAUUUUCUUCGUAUCCUGAAUUAAACCGAGUGUCAGUCAAUAAAACGCAGCUGAGUAGUUGAAUGCAUGGUUGUUGGAGUCUUUGGACAUUAAAAACUAUUAAAAUAGUUUUUGGACAUUAAAAACUAUUAAAAUAGUCUUUGGACAUUAAAAACUAUUAAAAUAGUCUUUGGACAUUAAAAACUAUUAAAAUAGUUUUAAUAAUAUUAUGUUUAUUAAUUUGAAAUAUGUAAUUUUUAUGUUUGUUCUAAUAAUUUAUUUUUAGUUAUUUGAAGGAUUUCAAAUAAAUCUUUGGGUUAAAUAGAUUUUAUAACUAAUAAAUAUCUCAUGUAUUAAUAAUAUUAAAAUUACUAUUUUACAUAAUAUUUAAAAGAAUUUAAAUUUUAAUAUAUUUAUUUUAAUAUUAUGUUUUUAUUUAUUAUGAAUUUACUUGAACAUAAUAAAGUAUGUAAAAUAUUAAAAUAAUAAAUAAUAAAUUUAUUUUAAUAUAUAUUAUUAAAUUUAUUUUAAUAAAAUAUUUUUUAUUUUUAUAAUUUUAGAGAUAAUUUUUUGAGUUAAAAAAAUUAAAGAAUAUUAUAUUAAAAUAAUAAAUAAUAAAAUUAUUUUAAUAUAUAUUAUUAAAUUUAUUUUAAUAAAAUAUUUUUAUUUUUAUAAUUUUAGAGAUAAUUUUUUGAGUUAAAAAAAUUAAAGAAUAUUAUAAUUAAAAGAAAAUUUUUUAAUCUUUAUUAAAAAUUUUAGAGUCUUUCUAAUAAGAUCUUUCCAAUUUUAAAGAUAUAGACGUUUGCUAAAAUCUUAAGGAUGGAGACGAUUCUUCUGUUAAUUGUUAUUUAUUAAUCAUCACUAAUCUCGUGAAUUCUACUCAGACGUGACAAAAUCCUGAUCCAAUUAAAUAAGUAAUAAGAAAACAAUGUGGAUGCAACGUUUUUUCUUCAUGCUGUCCUGUAAUGGUGAUGUAAACCAAAGACGCAGUCAGUAAAGGCAGCUGAAUGAUUGAAUGGUGUUGUCGGUGGAGUCUUUUGGAUAUGCAAUAAAGUCCAAUCAAUUUUUUUUUUUUUUCCUUGGAAAGUUCUACUCGAAAGCCAAAUGGUUGAACAUUGACGAUCCAGUAAUUAUGGCCGCGCUAUCCUAAAACAGUUCACAUAUUUUAAAAGAAACAAAUCAGUAAAAUCUCAAUAAAUUAAUGAUAUUGGGAUUAUUGUGUAUAAAAUUUAUUAAUUUAUAGAAUAUGUAUAAAAUUCAAUAAAUGUAUAUUUUAAUCAACUAAAAAAUUAUUAUUUUUUACCGAUCUAAUCAAUUAAAAUGAAUUAAUCUAUUAAGCUUAAAUUAAAUUAAUGAAAAAAUUAAAAUUCUUGCAAUUUCAAAAUUCAACCUUACAACUUUUAGAAGUAAUAAGUAAAAAUAGAGAUGAGAUCUAUCUAUAUUUAAAAUUUUUAAAAAAUAACAAUAGUCAUAUUUUAUUUAAUAAAAUAUCAUAAAAAUGAUAUUUGUAAGUUUAGUAAAUUAUUAAUUUAUGCUAUAAUUGGACAACAGAAUUGCAUAAAGGUUUUUAAAAAAAAUAUUAUUUUAUUAAUUUAUUAAAAUUAUUAAUUUAGGCCGUUGACUUAACUCGGGACUGUAAAAAAUUAUUAUGUAAUAAAGAUUAUUAAUUUAUCGAGUAUCAAAUUAUAAAGAUUUUACUGUAUAUCAUUAUAACUAAAACUAUGUUGCCUAAGAGGGAACGUAAUCCCAAAUUUGUCGACUGUUAGGAUAUCAAUUACUGAAACCCAACAAAUCCUCGAGCAGCCACGUUACAGAUUUCAUUAACCUGUUCUUCCAGUUUUUUGGCUGGUGAACUUUAUGCAAAAUUCUGAGCACAAAUAGAACUAUUAAUAAGUUAAUUGUUGUAACAACUAGAAGCAUAAUUUAUUCAACAAUUGUGCCAUUACUACAACCCAUUAGAAACAAAUAAUUGUUGAAAGAAUAUGUCGGAAAAUUUAUGGAAAAUCGAAAGAAGUCAUUUGUUACUAUAAUAUGGUUAGGUAGGGAAAAUAAUUAUAUGAUAAAUUAAAAUUACGGUAAAUUUAAUAAUAGAGGAAACAUGUGUGACAGCUAGAGAUCACAAUUGUCUGCUAUAAGCCUGGAUUUGACAAUCGUGAAGUGUCCUUGUAAAUACCUAUUUGCACCCACAUGACAACAUCACUGAUCACAUCCAAUUACACUUAAACAAUUCAAGGGAAAAUUAAUAAUUUUCUUCUUGAAAUUUCAUGAUAAAACAAAGAUUUGGUUGGGGAAGGGUGGGGACUUCCUUUUACAAACAUUUACUCUCAAUUCUUGCUCUCAUUUGGACACGAGGGAGAGAAGAAACCAAACAGAUUCUUUCAAUGAGUAACAUAACUCCUUCGAGUAGCUGAAACACACUUUUUAUUUGAUUUUUAUGAAUUAACUCUCAUUCUUUUUAUGAAUUGAAGGAUUUUGUCACGUACGAUUAUGAUUUUUGAGUCAAGGAAUCCAUUGUAAUUGUAUGUUACGAAUUCCAAUACACAACGAGAACCUUAAUAAAUUAAUAGUAUUGAGACCAUAAAAAAUUUAUUAAUUUAAUAAAUAUUAUUAUAUCAAUAAAUUAAUAAUAAUUUAUUAAUAUAAAUUAAUAUAACAAUGGCUACAAGUCGAAAUUAAUUUCAGAAGCAAGCAACAUUGGAAACUUAUUUUCAAAAGUCUUAUAGACAUAUCAUACGUAUUUAGUUUCAAAUUAUUUAAUUAUUAAGUUAUAUAUUAAUUGUAUCCUAUAGCAAAACAAGAUUUUUCUUUGAAAAUUUGUUAUCUAAUAAAUUUAUUAUAUUAUUAAUUUCUUACGUUCAUCCCAAAUUGAGACUAACAAAAAUUAUUAUUUAAUUGAGAUUAUUAAUUUAUCAGGUAUAAAUUAACAAGCUUCUACUGUACUUCAUAUUGAUGAAGUUAUUCUUCUGUCUCAAUUACAAAAUUAGUCGACUCUAUUAUUGCAAGAAACAUAGUUAACCCAAAUAAAAUUGACCGUAAAUUGACCAAUAAAUAAGUAAAUUUUCCUUUGGUGUCAUCUAUUGUCACUUAAAAAGACAAAAGUGCCCUUAAUCUAAAAAUAAAUUAUAACAAUUUGUUCUCACUUUCCUCCACCCUCUCCUCUCCUUUCCUCCGUGCUUAUUGAUUUUUAAAAUUCACAAACUAAAAGCAUCAUAAAAUGGCAGCUGCUAGGUUACAUAUACUGUAACUUAAGGUUGACCGAAAAAUAGUUUCUCACUAUCUUCUACUUAUUUGACAAGCAACGCGAGUCUUUCAAAGUUAUGUUGCAUCUUAUCCAAGGACAAUAAAUAAGAGCAUCAAUUCUCAAAAUAUCUUUAAUUGUUCUUAAAAAAUUAAGCUUCCACUCACAAACCAUGAAUGAAAGCAAUUGUUGUUCUUAAUAGGAUGGUAGCCAAAAAAUUAAGCCCCUCUGGGCAUUUGGCUUCAUAGGAGUAACUUUAAACACCUAAAUAACUACCAUAACAAUUACUUAUUAUCGUGGUCGUCAGUCAUCCAAUCAUUAUGUGUUUUGAGUAAUUAUCUAAUCAUCACAUAAAGUUACAAUUAUGUCACAGAACCUAAAUAUCUUUUACAACAAUUAUUUAGACAUUAUAUGCCACGUCGAUUGAAACUCCAAUGCCAAAUCAGCUUCCAGUGAUAUAGGCGUAUCCAGUUACCCUGUCAGUACACCUUAACUAUCUGUCAUAUUUCUUAUGGAAACCAAAAUUUAUAACCAAAAUCCUACAAGCCGAGCAAUUGAAUGAAUAAUUGACUAAAAAGUAUUAAUUAAUUCUUUUAAUGGAUUCGCUAUCUUUCACGGUAGGCAACUGAUAUUCCAACUCAUGGUCGUUGCUUUGUGCUUCUAUUUUAUGCCAUCUGCGCACAAAAACAAUUUUUCUUAGACUUAGCAUAUAACUUAGGUUUUGGUGAAUGAGGAUGUUGGGGUUAGGAGAAUAUCAAGUCUCUAAUUGCUUUAGUUUCAUUUCAUGGAUGGUUAACUUGAUUAAUGAGAUUUGAUUUAUUACGUAUAUGUGAUUCGACUGGAUUCACAAUUAGAGAAUUAAGAAGAAAUUAUCUAUGUUUGAUGAUGGAGAUAGAGAGACAAAGUGAGAGGGAACAGAGCAGAAGAAAGAGUGGAUAACACCCGAUUCUACUCGACCUACUGUGCCGGCGUCCCACUAAAGCCAUUUAAGUGAAAGCCAUCAGAUUGGAUUGGUAUUAAUCUAAUGGCUGAUUUAGGUACAAGACAAAAAUAUCAGGUUAGUUGCCCUUGGGCAAAGUAGCUGGAACCUUAUAUUAAUAGAUUUUUUUAGGGAAAUUCUCAAUUUCUCUCUACUGUAAUUAAUGUAUACUAUUUAUUUCUUUAUUGUUUUUAUAAUAGUUAAUAAUCUCUUGAUAGCAUAAUUUUAUAAUAUCAUCCCUAUUUUCAAAUACACUUUUAUUUAUAUUUAUUAUAAAUUAAAUAAAUCAUAUGAAUAGAAACUAAAUAAAAAAUUUAAUAAGAAAAAAAUUUUCUUGUACUUUUUUAUUGGUAAACAUUUUCUUAUAAUAAAUAUUUUAAAAUUAAAUGUACAAAGCACAAGAAAAUUUUUUAUUAUUUAUUUUAUAAUAAAUGAAUAAAUAAUUUCUUGUGCUUUUUACAUUUAAUUUUAAAAUAUUUAUUAUAAGAAAAUGUUUAUAAAAUAAAAAAGUACAAGAAAAAUAUUUUAUUAUUAAUUUUUCACAUCAAAAUAUAUAUUUCUUAUUUUUAAUACUUAAUUUUUUAUUUUAAUUUCCAUUCAUGUGAUUUAUUUAAUUUAUAAUAAAUAUGAAUAAAAGGGCAUUUGAAAAUAAAAGUAGUAUUGUGAACCUAUGUUGUCAGGGGUUAUCGGUCAUUAUAAAAACAUAAGGGGUCAAAUGAUAUAUAUUAAUUACAGUAGGGGAAAUUGAGAAUCUCCCUUAUUUUUAUCUAAAAGUAAAGUUAUAUUAUACCUACCUCCCCUAAAAUAAUAAGGAUUCUCUCUCUCUCUCUCUACAGUUCUCAAAUAAUUUUUUUUUUGUAAUUUAGCAAACAAUAAUAUUUCAUGAGUAAGGAGGGGAAAAAAAAUAUUACAAUCACAAUCAUUUCCUAGUUUUUAUCAAUAACUAUUUUUCAGUAAAUUCUUAUUAUAUUAUUUUGAGAUUCUUAUGAAUUGCUAAUUUUUUUUUCAUUUAAGUGCAAUUUGCAUUUUCAUAUUAAAUAUGAAAUUUAUCUAAAUUUUACAUAAAUCUAAUAACUAUGAAUGUAUAUGUUUGUUUUAUUAUUCGCGAAAAGGAAAUCAACAUCUCUAAAAUUUGGAAAAAUAGUCGUGGAGACUCUUGAGGUUUUAAUUAAAGCCAUCAAGAUCUCAUUUGGACCAUAAUAUCCUUUAAUAUAAUAACUAAAAGAUUGAUUUCAAAAUUCUUUUAAUAAAUGCAAAUAUAAUAUAAAUAUUUUAAUCCAUCUAGUACACUAAUAAUAUUACACAUAUUUUUAAUUUUAAAAUAAUUUCAAAAGUGAAACAUUUCUUUUUCUAUUUCACUGGCCUAGCCCCCUUUUUGAUUACUAACUUAUGACAAGCAACCCUCGAAUCAAUUCUGGCAUAUCUUCGUGCGACUAGGAAAAUACAUCUGCAUGAGAUUGUAAGCACUUUACUAGCCCGUCCCUUACUGCCUGGCUUAAACUGGCUGCUGCCGACCCUUCUUGGAGUCCCCCUGACUAUUGAGCGCAGUAACUUGUAAGGUCUCCUUUGCAGCUGUAACAUAACAGCUCCUUGCCAUCCUUUGGUCACCCUUCACUACGCCUACCAUCCCGUUUACUCUAUAUUUCAAUGCCAAGUAAUGAGUGGACAUCACACACUGGCUUACCCUCAUGAAUAGUCGCCCAAAUAUCAUCUGGUAAGGACUAUUUUCUUCCACAACAAUAAAAUCCAACAUCACUGUCUUUUUAGACGACUUUGUAGGGGUGUUCGCAGAUCGGAUUUUACAGAUUAGAUACCAAUCCAUAUCCAAUCCAUGAUUUUGCAUAUUAUAAUUUUUCAAUCCAAUCCAAUCCACGAAUUGAUUAAAUUCAAUCCAAAUCCAAUCCAUAUAUCUGAGGAUCGAAUACGGAUUUGACUCAAUCUAUAUCCAAUCCAUACGUAUGCAGAUCGGAUACUGAUUUAACUCAAUCCAUAUCCAAAUCUAUCAUUUUGCGAAUUGAUUUGCGAAUUAAAAAUUUAGUUAUCUCCAAUCCAUAAACUAAUGAAAUUAAAAAAACAAAAUCUAAUAUAAAAAUAAUUUUACUACUAAUUAAAUUUAAAAUUGAAUAAAAUUUAAACAAACUAAUUGUUUGUUUUAAUAAUACAUUCAAAAUAUAACACAUCGAGAUUAAUUGUUCAAAUAAAACUAUAAUAAUACGUUCAAAGUUUUAAAAUAUAACACACCAAAAUUAAUUGUUCAAAUAAAGUUACAAUAAUACAUUAAUAUAACACCAAAAUUAAUUGUUCAAAUAAAGCCACAAUAAUACAUUGAAAGUCUCAAAAUAAAACACACCAAAAGGAAAAAUGUCCAUCUCUAAUUUGUGUUUCGUACUUUAACCUAAACAAAAUAAACAUAAUUGAUAUAAAUAACAAGUAAAAAAAUUUAUUUAAUAAACAAAUUUAUAAAUAUUUACCCUUAUAUCCCAUCAAAUGCCAUCGAGCUUCAUCAAAUAUGUUCUUGUCAGCUCCUAUAAUCUCUGCACGUAUAAGACAAGAAAAAUGUCAAUUUUUAAAAUAGAAUAACAAUAUAAAGUCAAAUAAUAAUCAAUAAAUAAAAUUAAAGUUAAAUUGUUACAUUUUACCUGUUUCAAUAUGUUCAAUCUCAUCUAUUGCUUCAUCAAGAUUUAUCGGAGUUGAACGUAGCCAAUUUUGUGUGCAAAUUAGUGUCUCCACCGUCCUUGUAGAUAGUGAGCACCAAUGUGGAUCAAGAAAACGCCCACCAAUGCUAAAUGCUGACCCAGAUGCCACAGUGGAAACAAGCAUGACCAAAAUAUCUCGAGCAACAUAAGACAAAAUUGGAUUUGGAAGAAUUAAUCUUCCACCAAUCCAAUACAUCAAAAUUCUAACAAGUAAAGAUCCACUUUUGUUUUGCACUCUACAAAAGUAUCUUUUAAAAUCCUCAUAUAACCCGAAUCAAACACUUGCCUAACCUCAGUAUCAACCUCUAAUUCCUUUUCAUCAUUUACUACAUCCAUUAUUUCCACAUCAUCACCAUAAAGCAAUUUGUAUUCCUCAUAUAAACUAUUUAAAUUAUUCCGCACUUUAACAACCAACUAAUUAACUUUAAAUUCACCAAACAACACUACAAAACAAUAUCUCAAAAACCAUUCUUUAUGUCGUGGAUCAAGCAAAAUAGAAACAAACAAAUAAGGGUUGACUGUUUCAUAAUUUCCUCAAUACUUAUCAUACUUAUUUGUCAUAUUUUCAGCCAUUAUCUUCAAAAAUAAAUCUUUAUUAUCCCUCUAAGCUUGCAAUUGUGUAUGAAUCAAACAUAAUUGGGGCAAAAAAGUAUUGGAUGUCACAUAUAAAGAACCCAAAAAUGUCAAAGUGGCAUCAUGAAAGACCUUCAUGAAUUUAAUGAAAUAAUGAGCAUAUUCCCAAUCAAUUGAAGAAGGACACGUUUUUGGCUUACUCAAACAAAACUCACGAAUGUAUUGUGCAUCAUGAAACUCUAACCGAUCAAAUACUUUUUCAUACUUUUCAGUAGCCUUUAAGAUGAAAAAAGUGGAAUUCCAUCUAGUUAUGACGUCUAGACACUACAACUUAUUUGACGAAAUUUUCUCUCGCUCUGCAUAUGCCUUAAACUUUUGUGUCCUAGAAGGUGAAAAUCUAACAAAUAUUACAACAUUGCGAAUUCUAGAAAUCGACUGAUGAUACUUUUUUAACCCCUCUGCAACAAUGAGAUUUAAUAUAUGUGCACUACACCUCAAAUGCAUAUUUUGACCCCCUAAGAUUGCACCAUUCCAAUUGUUCACAACUUUUGACAAAUAAAAACAGAACUUAAUUAGAUAAAAUGCUCACAAGCUUCUAAACUAGUGGAUUUAUUAGGCGUACCUUCAACAUUACUGGAUGAUUUAGAACUUGGGGGAGCUGAAUCUACAGCUACGCAUUUUCCUUUAUCAAGUUGAGAAGUCAUCUACACCACCAAUAUGAAAAAUCAUUAAAACUAAUUACGAAAAAUAAUAGGAACAAAAUAAGCUUAAAAAGAAAGUAAUAAUUUAAGUUUAAUUAACUCAAUCAGUGAGGUCUUUGCAUAAACACAAAAUUCUUGUUUAAUAAUAGCAAAAAUCAUUAAAAUUAAUUAUGAAAAAUAACAGGAACAAAUUAAGUGAUAAGUAUUGGAAGAAAAAAACACAAGAAAGUUAAACUAGCAUCCACUUCCAGGGGGAAUUCCUCUUUAUUGAAAUCAAAAUGUUAAGAUAAUUUUUCCACACCCGUCUACUUCAAGCCGAUACAUAUAAAUAAUAAAAAGCUAUUGUAUAGCCAGCCUUAUUACACACUCCUACACAAAACAAAGUCUAAACUAUUUCCUUAACAAACUUAAGUUAACAGCCCAUACUUAUCUUGCUUCUGUCUCUAACGAAUUUUAUCCCAACAAUUCAUCCUUUUGUUAUUUUAUUUAGUCAUAUCAUUAAGCUCGAAAAGAAAGUAAGAAUUUAACUUUAAUUAUCUCAAUUGGUGAGGUCUUUGCACAAACACACAAAAACCCAAAAGAGCCACGAGGGUUCGAGGAGUGAGAAGGCUGUGAUGGUGAAAUUUUUUGGCUGGAACCAGUGAUUGUGAAGUGGCUUGAUGGGCUCAGGGAAGAAGAUGGCUUGAUAAUGCCAAAAUCGCGCGGCCGAUGUCCUUCAAAUCGAUGUCUAGAGUGUAUCGAACUGGGUGUUGCUAGUGCGUGUAAUGGCAGGGAAGCAGGAAGCUUAGGGUUUUUUUGUUUGCAAAUUGUUAGUGACCACUGACUUGCGUUAUGCUACUUUACUUUUGGCGUUAUGCUACUUUACUUUUGGGUUAUGUUACCUUUUUUUUUUUUUGACAAUAGCGUUAUGUUACUUUACUUUUGGAUGACUUUGCAAAUUGUUGGUGACUUGAUUACUUUACUUUUUGCUAGUGUAUGUGACUUUGUUUUUAUUUUGUUUUAUAAUUUUUAUAAGUUAUAUUUGUAUAUUUGAUUAUUUAAUUAUUUUUUGUAAUAUAUUUUUAUUAGGUAAUGGCUAAGUUAUGUUAUGGUGCUUAUGUAACUAUGUAAUGUCACAUUUAUAAUAUUUUUAAUUAAAUUUAUAAUAUUUUUAAAAAUAAAUAAAUAAAUAUCUUUUUUUUUGCGGAUUCACAGAAGUAAAUCCAUAUCCAAUCCACCGACUGUGGAUUUUUAAAAUUUCAAUCCAAUCCAAUCCACCAAUCCCAGGAUCAGAUUUUUACGGAUCGAAUGGAUUGAACGGAUCGGAUCGGAUUCUGAACACUCCUAGAUUGUACCAGAGUCGACCUAUCUUCACUCCCUCUUUUAACCCUUUCAACGCCUGAGGGUGAUUGAAGGCUUCCAAUUCAAGUAUGGCCUGGUGGUACCUUUUCACAAAAUCCCUCAGCUAUUCGUGUUCUUCUUGCUUCAUUCCCAUUAACUCCAUCAUAUCGUCCUCUUGGGCUACUGCUCCUCGGAACUGCUCGGCUAACUCUUGACACAUUUGUUCAAAACCCUUUAUACUUUCGCUUGACAACUUGCGGUACCAGUCUUGGGCUCGCCCCUCCAACGUCAGGGGAAAUACUCGGCAUCUCUAUGCUGGCGUUAGCCCCUGAACCACUGUCAUGUUGUUGAAGCGCUCGAUAUGCACUAACGGGUCACUUUUCCUGCAAUACUUGAGGUCGGGGAAACGGAAAUCCCUCGGGAUCAUAGUGCCUAUGAUCUCCGCUGAGAGUGGAGAUUCGUCAUCCAACAUUAUUCUCCAGCUAGGGGGCUUUCUUCUGCCCUGCAUCUUAUCUAUCACAUGUGCCAAUUGUCGCUGAUGAACAUAAUUUAUAUACAUAUUUUACCCUUAAUUAUAUAAUUGCUAGCUAUUUUCAUUUGUUAUUUUUAAUUAAUUAAAUUAUUUUAUUGAAUAGGGGAUUAAUUGGAGAUUAUGGAUAAAAAGGACAUAAACGAACUCAAUUUUGGAAGCAUUAAAGAUUAAUUGAUUUUUUGGAAGGAAUUAGACAUACAUGCAUGUGGAAAUCAAGCCAAGGAACCGAAUUCAACAAGUUAAUUCAUCAUGCACAUGCGGACAAAAGAGAGAAAUUGAUUUUAGCUUUAAGAAGGGACCCCACUUGGCUUUCAUAAAUGGAAAAAAGAAACCUAUUACAAUUUAAAGUGCCCACAUGAGUGAAGCAAAACAAAUAAAAGGCCAAACCCUUUUAGCUUUAGAAUUGACAAGGUGGGGCCCAUUUUACAGGCUAUAUAAGAAAGCUAAGCUUUUGGCUUUUGGGAGAGGAGGGCAGUCGCGUUUUCAUGGCUGAUUUUAUUUCUUUUGUUGCUCCUUAUUCAAGUAUGUCUAACUAAUUUUCUUAUACUGAGGUUAAAGAUGAAACCAUGUUCAAUGAAAUAAUUAUCUUUUUAUUUAUUUAAUUCCCUAUAUAUGUUCUUUAAUGAUUAUGGUUUUUAUUUCACAUGAUUAAUUGGAUGUUAUUAAAAUCUUUUCAUCAAUUCUGUCAUGCAUUAUUGAUUAUUAUGAUUAAUAUUCAAUUAAAUCUAUGAUUGGAUCUAUAAAGUUUAUACAUGAUUAUCUUUGAUUCUAUAUCUUUUAUUAAAUUAUUUACGUAGAGUGCUUAUGGAAACUUUGACUCUUUGUUAUUCAAGAUGUUUACAUGAGAUACUUAGAUGUCAUAUUAUUAAGCAGAAAAAGAACCUACACAAGAUUAAUUUUAAUUGGACUUAAUUGUUAUAUUUAUGAGAUGACAUAAAUUGAUUUCGAGUUGUCACUCUAAAAUUGGGGAUUAAUUAAUGUUUAGAUAAUUACUAAUUGAAUAGUGGUUGAUUCCGAAACCUUGGUAAUUUUUAUCUUAUUGAAUUCUCCUUUAUUUUAAUUGCUUUCUUAGUUGAAUUGGUUUAAUUUUCUUAGAAACUCAAUUUGGUCAACUAGGUUGGAAUUAAUAGUAAUUUUAGAUUUAAAUUAGAUUUUUCAAUUUAUAAAAAUCCCUGUGGGAUCGACCUCGUUACCACUACUCUAUUUCUAGAUUUGUGCGCUUACAAGUAUAUUAAAAUUUUUCACAACAGUCGCACUUCCCCCUCUAAUUCCAAAGCCCGACCAGGAUCACGUGCUGCAACCUGAUCACGCUCCUGUUCAAUGUUGUGCAACCGUAAUCUGAGCUCAUUCUCCUCAACGUUUGCUCCUCGGGUACCACUUCCACAGAUUUGCCCACUGCGGGAUUGAUCUCUCCCCUCAUUCCCAUGCUCUCCCAGAGUCUAGACUGCAUCUCUAUGAGCAUGCGCUCCAUCGGGCUGUCCCCCUAACAGAGGAAUCUCCUCAUUCCCAUGCUUUCGAUAGCUGGGUUCCGCCACAACCUCGUCUCUAAUCGUUGUAGCCUUAUAAUCCUUCAUUCUCUCAUUCCUCAGCUCAUGUAGUAUGGCGGUAAGGGUCUCCAUCUGCUUUUCCAUCCGUUCUUGCAUCACUCUUUCCCUAGCUUCAUUCGCUAUUUCUCAAAGAGUGAUAAUCUCAUUGGUUUCAUUAUCACCCCCCUUGAACGCCACUCCUCGCCAUAUCUAUAAUGACUCGUUCUCCUUUAUGCCACUAGUUGCUACAUUUGUGGUAGUUUUUCGUUCACCUCCCCAUAGACGGCGCCAAAAUAUUGAUGCGGAAAUCUGGUCAUCCUUUGCUAGACCAAAUUGAAUUACCAAUGGUUGUACUGACAAUGACUGGAACACUGCACUCCUAAUGCUUUCCCAAUUGUACGAACCUAGAGACUCAAAUCAAUUUCCCUAUUCCUUCACGACUUGCGCUCAUAGAAACAAAUCAGAGGCACUGGUGGUUUUUUCGGAGAAAACCCUCCGAUGCUUAAGUCAGUACUCAGGGUUUCAGGAAAAAUGUUGUAUUUUAAGACACGUGCAAACUAAUCACAAAUGAAUGAAAGAAAAGUGUUUUAGAAAUAAAUGCUGGAAUCAAAUUGGCAGAGUUUUCCCUUUUUUUUUUUUAUCUAUCCCCCUCCCUUCUAUUUUUUUGACCUUUUAUAAGCAAUCAUCCAGUAUCCCUAGAACAUUUCCCACGCCCGUCAUACUUGGGCGAUCAAGGGUCCUUACGGAUCUCAAUAGUCAAAAGUGGGCGACGUGGGGUGUCGUGUUUUUUUCUAAUGGUUUGGGAUGUGGCGAAACUGUUGCAUUGAUAUGAGAUUGUGCCCUCUUUCUGGGUGACAUAUUUCUAGUCGGUACAUGCCUUUGAUCGGUCAUUAGGUGUACCGCGGAGAAUACUUCCACCAAAAAACUACUCAUAACAUUUGGUUGAGGACUAGGAAAUUGGGACAUGCCCAGCUAGUGCCCUUUUAAUGCCCAAACAAGUAUUGUCUGAAUAUGCGAGUUGAUGGAAAUCUUCUUUUGUACCCCAAAAAUACUAUAGAUGAUAAUAUUGACGUCUAUCAAGCCAAUGAUGCUGACAACCAUCAACAAUUUCAUCUAUAUCUUGAUAAUAAUGCCAGACUGCUGCUUCUUAACAGCAGCACAUCAGAAAUCUGGUCACUGUACUCUGACUCGUCUUUCAAUAAUAAUAGCUCAGUUAUUUACUGUGUAACUCUAGGCCAUGUUGAAUUGGAAGAACCGGAGGAUUUGUGUCAUGUGAAGAACUUUUGCGUUUUGAACAACUAUUGCACAUGGUAUGACAACCAACCCAUGUGUGGUUGUCUUCUUAGAAUGGAUUUUUUAAACAUUAACAAAAUCUCUAGUGGAUGUGCUAGGAACUUCAUUAAAGAAAGAUGCAGAAGUACCAAUCGAAGUGCAGCAUAUAACAUGACUUCUAUAGUUAAUAUAACAUGGGAUGAUUAUCCAUAUUUUAGGAAAUACAUGCUUAAAGAAGAGUGCAGAAAAUCAUGUUUAGAGGACUGUGAAUGUGAUGCUGCUUUGUACGAAUCAGGUUAUUGCAUGAAACACAAGCUUCCACUAAAAUCUGUUCGGACACGUCAAGGAGAGUCAUCCUCAUCCAAAGCUUAUUUCAAGAUGAGCAUAAAAAAAUUCAAAAGCGACGUUAUACUGUCGGAUAGAAUCACUAGCAAAAAGGAAAUAGUACUAGUUCUGGUACUGAUUGUAGGCUUCAUCAUGUGUUCAUGUGUUUUCCUUGCCAUCUUUUUUUUUUUCAUUUACCAGUACCGACUUGUUAAAGAGAAAUGGCCGCUGAAAAUUGGAAACUUUGGCUUGACUAAUGACUUAAUUCCAUGCUCGUUUUCUUAUAAUGAGCUUAAGAAAGCAACCAACAGAUUCAAAGAAGAGUGUGGGCAAAUGCUCUUUUGGAACAGUUUAUAAAGGGACCUUACACAAAGGUGAAAAGUUUGUAGUCGUGAAGAGGCUGGGGUCAAUGGUGACGGAUUGUGAGAGAGAAUUUCGAGCAGAGAUGCAUGUGAUCAGCCUAACUCAUCACAAGAACUUAAUUUGGUUAAUUGGUUACUGCAUUGAGGAUUCCAUGAGGUUACUGGUAUAUGAAUAUAUGAGUAAUGUGUCACGGGAUGAGUUUUUAUUGUGCAGCAACCCGUGCGGCACUUAGGCGACUUCUAGCAUACAAGUCGCUAAGUAAGCCUUUUCGAACUUCUCAACUAGCCAAACAAGAAUGCUUUGUGGAAAAUGCUAGAGAGAAGAGAGCAAUGUGGCUAAAAUAUAUUUUAUUACACACAGAAUAAAUUACAAGAGAGCUUGUAUGUGUGCUUGAGUGUUUGUGUGUGUGGUGGUUGGUGGGCAAAUGAGAGGGCUCACCCCUAUUUAUAGACUUGGGUGCAAGGUUCUUGAAGUUUCCAUGCAACUUGCACAAAUAUUUCCUAAGGGCUAAGUGAAAAAUCCUAGAAAGUUCUAACUAUUUACAAAUUGUAGAGAAGUCUAGAUCUUGGGCCACAGAAGACUUGUUAUAUUGGCGACCCACUUCUAAGCGCAUCCCGCUUCUAAGUGCAUCUCGCCUUUUGUGCUAAGUACAUCCCAGUUUUUAAGCGCACUUCGGUUCGAGGCGGACUUUUGCUAAACAUACCCAUGCACGCAGAAUUAGCCUCCGUUGGUGGCAAAAUUGAGCGGCCCGUGACAAUCCUCUCCCACUUAUGCUCGCAGUGUCCUUAUCGCGUUCUUGUGCUUGUAGUUCUAGAUAUGCUCCACGAAUUGCCAUAGGUCGUCUUUACGUUCCCACGUUGCUUCGCUUUCGGGGGGAUUCCUCAACUUCACUAAGUACUCAUUGUAUGCCGGUAUGCCCCGUCUUCGAAUGACUUGAUCGAAGAUUAUAUAAUCUACGUCCUUGUAAAAUGUUGUGACAACGGCAGUUAGGGUACGUCUUAACUCACCUCGGCUUGGGUCUUCCGCAUCUGCAUGGUAUGGCUUGAACAAACUUACGUGGAAGACCGGAUGGAUCUUGAGUAUCGGCAGAAGUCGAAGUUAGUACGAGACUUUGUCGACAUGUCGCACUACUUCGAAAGGCCCCUCGUAUCGUCUCACUAACCCUUUAUGGACUUUCCACAAAGUCUUGAACUGUUGGGGUAGGAGCUUCACCAUCACUUGGUUGCCUUCUUUGUAUUCGACAUGCGCCUUCGAGAAUCAGCCCAUUUCUUCAUCUUACGGGCAACCUUAUCUGCUUUGCAAUCGGUUGGUGUGGUGAUGAAAGUUGCAUACUUGCUAUAGCGGUCGACCAUGACCAUUAUGCUUCCGCACCCCUCAGACCUGGGUAAGGCCGAAAUGAAAUCCAUGGUGACACUUUCCCAAAGCCUUGAUGCUAUGGGCAGGGGCUCCAACAAUCCUGCCGGAAGUUGGUGAUCCGCUUUGUCUUGUUGGCAAACAAGACAUGUCCGCACAUAGGCCUCGAUGUCAUCUCUCAUGUGCGGUUAAAAAUAUGAAGCUUAGACGAUUGCGGUCGUGCUUUAUACUCCAGGGUGGCCAGCCCAUUUUGAGUCGUGGCACUCCUUGAUCACUUCUCAAUGCAAAUUUCCCCACCUAGGCACAAAGAGUUGAUCUCCUUUGGUGAGGAGGAUGUCUUCUUCUUGCCAAAAUCUCCUUGUCUUGCCCUCGAGAACUUUCCCCAACAAGUCUUUUGCUAUCGGAUCUUAUUGGAGGCCUUCUUUGAUCCGAGAGACAAGGUUGGACUGUGGUUGGCUCAUGCUAAGUGUUGCCAACUCUGCUUUGCGGCUUAGGGCAUUCGCAAUAACGUUGGCUUUUCCAGGCUUGUACUCGAGCCGAUAGUCAAAUUCUGCAAGGAAGUCUUGCCACCUUACUUGCUUGGGGCUCAACUUCUUUUGCGUUUGGAAGUAGCUUGUGGCUACGUUGGCUGUUAAGAUCACAAAGUAUGAGCCAAAUAAGUAGUGUUGCCACACUCGUAGGCAAUGGAUGAUUGCAGUCAUUUUCUUCUCUUGCAUGGUGUAACGACGUUCUGUAUUAUUGAGCUUCUAACUUUCAAACGCUAUUGGGUGGCCUUCUUGCAUAAGGACUACACCAAUGGCGAAGUCAGAGGCAUUCGUGUGAAUUUCUAAUGGCUUCGUGUGGUCCGGAAAAACGAGGACGGGAUCCUCGAAGAUAGCCUUUUUCAACUCUUUGAAUGCAUGCUGGCACUCUUUGGACCAAUGCCAUGUUCUGUUCUUUUUCAACAAGUCGGUCAAGGGUGCCGCUUUGGUCGAGUAUCCCUUGAUGAAGCAGCGAUAGUAAUUCACCAAUCCGAGAAAAGACAGAAAAUUCGAGUACCUUGGUAGGAGGUUCCCACUCGAGGAUGGCCUUCACCUUUGAGUUCUCCAUCAUCAACUUCCCUUUCGUUAUUUGUGGCCAAGGAACUCUACCUCCCAUUGGGCAAACCAACAUUUCUCCAUCUUGAGGUAGAGCUCGUUGUUGCGCAGUACUUGGAGAACUUGCCGCAAGUGUUGGGCGUGCUCCUCGAGUGUGGUGUUAUACACCACUAUUUUAUCCAAGUACACAACGACGAAGCGGUCGAGGAAAGGUUGGAGAACCUUGUUCAUAAGGGUGCAAAACGUGGCCGGUGCAUUGGUGAGGCCAAAAGGCAUGACAAGGAACUCGAAAGAUCUGUAUCUGGUUAUGCACGCCUUUUUUGGCUCAUCUCCCUUGGCGAUGCGCACUUGGUAGUACCCGGACCACUAUUCAAGCUUGGUGAAGUACCGCGCCUUGCCAAGCUGGUCAAACAAAUCCACGAUCAAAGGGAUCAAAUACUUGCUCUUGAUAGUGAUCUUGUUGAGAUCCCGAUAGUCGAUGCACAUCCAAAGUGAUCCGUCUUUCUUCUUUUAGAAGAACACGGGUGCACCGAAUGGAGCCUUUGAUGGGCGGAUGUAGCCCGUAUCUAAUAAGUCUUAGAGGUGUCUUCGUAACUCCUCGAGUUCGGGCGGCGCCAUCCAGUAGGGCGCCAAGGCUGGAGGUUUCACGCCUUGCUCCAAUUCGAUCUCGUGAUCCACUUCACGUCUUGGUAGGAGCUUCUUCGGAAGUUCCGGAGGCAUGACGUCCUUGAAUUCAUUGAGUACUCCUUGGAUUAGAGGAGGGACUUGGCUCGGUGACUCACUACGAUCUUCUCCAUCAUUUAGCUCCCAGAUGGAGACUAAGAAGCUUGGGUCUUUCCGGAAACUCUUUUUGAACUGCAUGGUCGAGAGCGUCUUGUCCGCGAUCUUCGAGCACUCGGCUGGAACCAUGAACGCCAUACUCCCAUCGAGGAUACUUAGGGAGUUUGUGGCCGAUAGCGGGAAGGCAUGGACUUGAUCGAAGAACUCCAUGCCGAGGACCAUCUUGAAGUCAUCCAUGGGUACGAUGGAGAAAUCGAGCUUCCGCUCUACGCUCUGAGUAUUACCCGCACGCCUCUUGCGGUGCCCGCAAUGGGCUUAGCAGGUGAGUUUAUCGCCUUCAAGGUGCCUCAUUCCUUCAUCACCUUGAGGCUUAGGCACUUGGCCUCAUCUUCCGAAAUGAAGUUGUGCGUCGCUCUGGUGUCGAGCAAGGCAUGCACGACUUGUCCAUUAAUAGACACACUCACAUACAUGAGCCCUUUCUUCGUAGGUGCUGGCGAGUGGCUCUUGAGUGCGCCGAGGCGUUGGAGGGUACCCAUGUUGUGUUGGGGUUCCUCCGUCGACGGUGUUGAGUUGCCCUUGAGUUAGGCUGCUAGAGCAUUGGGCGACUUUUUCUCCGGACAGUUGCGGACCCAAUGGGGGCAUUGCUUAUGAAGCAUGGGCUUUGAGGCUUGGGUGGCUGUUGUUUCUCCGAUUUACUUUGCCCGCUCUUGCCGCUUGGAGGCUUUUUCUGCCCCCACUCCUUCCGAUUAUGGCCCUUGUCCUUCCGACCCUCUCCCCCACCUUUACCAUGGCUAGGCCUCUUGUCCUUGGGCUGUGUGGAGUAAUCGGCAAGUGAUUCUGCAAUGGUGAUGGCGUCAUCGAGAGUUUGUACGCCACGCCUGUCAAGUUCCACCUUCGCCCAAUUCUUGAGGCUAUCUUGGAAGUAGAAGAGAGAGUCCUUAUCGGACAUGUCAGAGAUCUCAAGUAUGAGAGUAGUGAAGUCGUUGAUAUAAUUACGGACGCCGCCCGUUUGCUUGAGCCAACAUAGGCGCUCGAGCUUCCUUCUCCGCGUUGCUCGGGGCAAAGUGCUUGUGGAGUUCACGUUGGAACUCGGCCCAUGUAUUGAUGGCACAAAUGCCCUUACCCAUGUCGCCAUGCUUCCGCCGCCGACAUAGUUGUGUGGCGCCUCGUAAGAAUGUAGGCGCAGUGCCUACCUUCGAUGCCUCAUCGCGAACAUCCAUGGCAUCCAUGUAUUGCUCUAGCCCAAAUAGGAAGUUGUCGAAGAUAGUGGCAUUGCGUGCACCAUUGUAGGUGUCCGGCUUUCGCACGUCGAUCCAGCGUGCAUCACUUGUGCUUGCGGAAGCUGGGCUAGGUGUGCGUGUGCGCUUGUGCCAAGCCCAAUCCGAGCAGACUUCGUCAACCUCUGCACUGAUCGCUCGUAGCUCGCUUUGUACGAAGCUAAGUAACUUCUACAGAUCAUCUUUCAAUGCUCGAAACUCCCCUUGGAGUAAGUCGGCUUGGUCUUGCAUGAGGGCCUUGGCGAACUCACCAUACUUGCCCUUGAGACCAUUGACCCUCACCUCCAAAGUAUCGAGGGUGUCCUGGACAGCGGACAUUGAAGUCUUGAGCGUGGCCAUGCGAGGCUCCAAGGUGUCUACGGAAGCGGCCUUGGACUUGCCGCAGGACUUAGCUUGUGCGCGUCCCUCCUCACGGCCACGUGUUUGCUCCGAUACCUCCACACCGACUACGCCCUCUUGUGUUAUGCUAGGAGGAUUGGCCAUUGCUCGUUAAGCUAGUUUGCAUGGGUGCAAACCUUAGCUCUAAUACCACUUGUCACGGGAUGAGUUUUAUUGCGCAGCAACCCACGCAACACUUAGGCGACUUUUAGCAUAUAAGUCGCUAAGUAAGCCUUUCCGAACUUCUCAACUAGCUAAGCAAGAAUGCUUUGUGGAAAAUGCUAGAGAGAAGAGAGCAAUAUGGCCAAAAUAUAUUUUAUUACACACAAAGAAUAAAUUACAAGAGAGCUAGAGAGCUUGUGUGUGUGGUUGUUAGUGGCCCAAUGAGGGGGCUCAUCCCUAUUUAUAGAUCUUGGGCCUUGGUGGGUGAUUUUCUAAGCACACCACGGAAGACUUAAUAUGUUGGCGGCCCACUUCUAAGUGCAUCCCGCCUUUUGUGCUAAGUGCAUCUCGGUUUCUAAGUGCACUCGAAUUCGAGGAGGACUUUUGCUAAACGUACCCGUGCGCGCGAAAUUAACCUCCGUUAGUGGCAAAAUUGAGCGGCCCGUGAGAAAUGGCUCCCUUACAGAUAUCAUAUUUUGUAGCGCUGAAAGAAACCCCUAUUGGAAUCAAAGAGUCAGAAUUGCAUUAGAUGUUGCUAAAGGAAUCCUCUAUCUCCAUGAUGAGUGUGAACCACCUAUCCUUCAUUGUGACAUAAAGCCUCAGAACAUUCUGAUGGAUGAAUUUUGGACUGCGAAAAUCUUAGAUUUUGGACUAGCGAAAUUGUUGGUGCCAGACCAAAUGAGGACUUUGUCAUUGAUAAGAGGGACAAGGGUUACAUGGCGCCGGAAUGUUACAAGAGAACUCCAAUAUCAGUAAAAGCAGAUGUUUAUGGCUAUGGAAUAGUGCUCCUGGAAACUAUUUGCUGCAGGAAAAACAUGGAGAUUGAUGCAUCAAAACCAGAGGAAAUCAUUCUUACCAAUUGGGUUUACAAGUGCUUCAUUAAUAGAGAGUUGAAUAAGCUUGUCCGUGGCACAAAAGUAGACAAGAAGAAUUUGGAGAACUUGGUCAAGGUGGGCCUUUGGUGCGUUCAAGAUGAACCUGCUCUUCGUCCUAUGAAGUGCGCGGUGAUGAUGUUAUAAGGGAUCGCAGACGUUGCGACUCCUCCUUGCCCCACAGCCUCCUUGGGUAAAAUCUUGUAGUGGGUUUUUGCUUCGUUUGUGCUACAUGACUAUGUAGCUCUAUGGCAACAUAUUAAAACAUAUAUAUCACGUUUUGUUCACCUGUCCAGCAAAACUUUGCACGAGUACAAUUACUUUUUCCAUGAUUGGCUAUGGCUGUUUUAAAUUUUAAUGAAAGUAAUUAUAUAGACAGACGUAUUCAUCAACCACAAAAUAUAUAGAGCAACUGAGUAUACAUUACUUUUACAGAGUUAUGAAUACAUUCUGAUAAGAGCAAACACCUAGCCACCACUUAAUUUACAGAGGCAAAAUCUCAAGCCGGUUUUAGGCAACCGUCGCUUUUGGACAGAUUCAAAACGUUAUAAAUAACUUGGGUUGACAUGUAAGAAGCAAGAGGGACUCCUAGAUGGCUAAACCUUGGUGAUGAUGAAUAAAACCAAGGGAAAAAUUCUUUCUUAAUGCACUAGACUGGUAAACAAGUAUUGUAACUGAAUUACACGGAAUUAUGAAUGUUCCCCAAAAGAUACAAUGAAGACAACCUUGACUGAUGUCAAUGUAUAUGAGGUCAACAAUAUCUGCAAUGUAGAAAUAUUAGCAAUCUGAGAAGCAACUGAUAUGCUGAAGCAGGUGUCAAAGGAAAUAUAAUUAAGGAUGCCCAAUUCAAUAUACAAGGGAAGUCAGAGACCCAGGGUUAUGGGAUCUGAAAAGGUGCCCUUAGUAUUGCACUAUUCCUUCUCAGGAAUCUAUGGUGAUAGAAUUCGUUGAAGGACAAACGAUCCACUGCAAUGAAUUGAGAAGACUGUGAGGGAUGACUGCAAUAAACCAGGAGUAAAUAAAAGUAUAAUUAUUUGGUGAAUGCUAAUAUAUAAAGCUAAAAUAUGGAGUAGAUGAUACCUGGAUUUGCAGAAAGUAGCUUUAAGCACAUAUCAACACAAUCUGGAUGCAAAGCAGGGACGAUAAGCUGAGAAAAUGGAAGAUGCUUACAUGAAUUGAUGUUCCUCACCAACUGAAAGAAACAAAACUUAUUAGCUAAGAUUCAAGCUAGCUCACUGUUAGGAAUAUUAAUCUAGGCAAAAAUACGCUACCUGGACAUUAUUCCUACCAGAGAAAGGUGGGUAGCCAUUAAGAAGCUCAAAAAGAAUUGCCCCAACGCUCCACAUAUCAACCUACACAAAAAGUUUUAAAACUUUCAGUACAUUCUGAUGCAUUUUAAUAGCACAGAAUGAUUAUCUAGGGGGAAAUAAAGAAAUUCAGCUUCUCAUCAUAUCUUUGAAAUUGAAGAACUUCAGGAGCCAUGUAUAUUGGGGAUCCACAAACUUUCUCAGCAUAAUGGCCUGGAUGCAGGGUGCUGCUUAAAAUACGAAGCAAACAGUCAAUUUUAAGCUCCAGACUUUUCAAGAAUGAAACUUCUGCAUAAUGUUUACAUUUUAAAACUACAAUAGAAACAAAAGAACAGAAAAAGUCAUCGUUCAAACACACUUCCAGGACAUUGUCAAAAAUAAGAACUAUCCUCACACAAUAUAUUUGUAUCCUUCUACUAAAAGUUUACCAUGAAAGACCAAAAUCUGCUAUCUUGAGCAUCACAUCAUCAUCUAGGCCGAAUAAUAAAAUGUUCUGUUCCACCAAAAGCAACAGCAAAGUCAAUUUAAAAACUUACAAUCUCGAAAACAUACAAUGUUUUAAAAUGAAAACAUAUAAAUUAAAAUGAAGAAAAUUCAUGUGUAGAAACACUGAAAAUUUGGCAGUUUAGUGACAACUAUACAAUCGCUGACGACAUUCAAAGUUCCUUUGAACUUCCCAAAAUAGGAGUACAAAAUAGUAACUCAUCAAACUUUAAGCUUGUUCAAGAUUGUUCAUUUUCUCGAUUUCAUCACUUUCUUGACAAGCACACUAAAGAGCAAACCAUAUAAAGCAACCUCAAUCCUCUAGGGAACUCCAUCCUCUAUGAUUAUCACCAACCAAGACUCUCAUUUAAUUAUUCAUAUUAUACUUCUCAUGGAACAGAGAGAACCAAGUGGCAGCACAAAGAAAGAAGUAGAAGGUUCAGGGAAUGACAAGCAACAGGUUAACAGAAAAACUGCAAGAGCGAACAAGAAUAGAGCCACACUGCGUAAACAACUAAUGGUAAGUAGCAUCUUCCAGGUUCAUAGAAUCAUUUAGAGAAACAAAAUUUUCCAAAUAAGUUAGAAAUUCAAGACAAUAAACCACAACACAUAACUCUGCAUACCUCUGGUUUCAAAUCUCUAUGGAUAAUGUGGUGAGAAUUGAGAAUUUCCAAACCUGCUCCUGCAACAAGGAUUCAGUCACAUUCUUUUAUAUCUUACUUGAAACAGGGAAGUGAUUGGAGCAACAAAAAUUCACACCUAUUGACCAAAGGGCAAGUAAGGUACCAAGCUGCUGAAGAAACUUUCUGGCAGUCUGCUCUGGAACCCUUCCAUGCAGCCGAAUGUAAGAUGAAAGAUUACCCCCAGCAUAAAACUCAACCACAAGGAAUAUACAAUUUUCAGCCUGACAGUGGAGGCAGUCAACUUCAAUUUGUCAAAGUACUAUCGUUACAUAAAUGAUUUAUAUAUCAUUUGCAACAACCUAUACGGCUUUCUUUAUUAAGGGAAUGGUGUAGCUCUAAGACAAAUAUGCCUAAGUACGAACAGAUUUGGGCAAUCAAGAAAUUGCUUAUUUUAACUCGUAAUUUGCAUGCAAUGGGCAUGCCACCAGACCAUUUAAUAACAAAAAUGUAUAUGAGGGACAGGAAAAUAGAAAUCCAAAAAGUAUGCUUAAUUCCAACACAUCUUAUCUUACAUCAAGUAUUUGCAUCCCCAAUUCAAGGUAUAAAUUAUAAAAUUGAUUAGCUAAAUCAAGCAUUUGCAUUUUCCAAUUCAAGGUAUAAAAUAAGUUAGCUAAAAAUCGUCAGAAACGAAAAUAAAAGAACCACGAAAAAAUAACAUAGUUUGAACAUUAAGACCAUCCUUUUUCUCUAAUAAGCAGCUCACAUCUCCAUGUUGUGAUAAAAACAAUGGUCAGUUAUGGAAUAUCCAAUUGAUAAAAUCAGCUUAACCAACACUGAUGAAUUAAAGAAUCUGCAUUCCAAGAUAAAUCUACACUAAAUUAACAACUAUUAUCUCCAAAAUAAUUAAAGAAAAAUCUAAAAAUACAUUUUCAGACCCCCAAGCUAAGUCGAGCAAUCAGUUAACAUAUGCAAUUCAGCAAACACUUGACAAGUAUCCAUCAGCUUAUCCAAAAAUGAAAUUAAAAAAAAAAAAUUAAGCAGACAAUUAUACUCUUACAACAUAUCAAGCAAAAUCAUACGGAACGAUCCUUUAUCAAAGAUAACCAAAUGGAUAUCCCACAACCAGGCUAAAAAUCAAAACCAAUGAACUAAAUAUAAAUAAAUUACAUAACCCAAAGCAAAGAAACUCAAAUUCAACAAACGCAAGAAAGGCAAUUAAGAAUCUUGAAAUUUCCAUUUAAAGGGCUCACCGGGAAAGCGUCAAAAAGGCGAAUUAUGUUGGGGUGAUUGACAGAGGAGAGGGAAUUGAGCUCACAAUCUAAGCAGCUCUUGAGGUGCUUGUUGAGCUUUUCAACAUAAACUUGCUUCACAGCCACCACAUCACCUGAUGACAAGUGCUCCGCUUUCCACACUGUUGAGAGUGAAUUUGAACUCUCUCCAAUUUUUUAUUUUAAUGCAUAGUCUCCCACUGUUU
This 31351-nucleotide long non-coding RNA is filed under the name Citrus x clementina. Its description in RNAcentral is "Citrus clementina (C. clementina) long non-coding RNA (CCLE_LNC001552)". The record is from RNAcentral. Lineage: Eukaryota; Viridiplantae; Streptophyta; Magnoliopsida; Sapindales; Rutaceae.